This 394-nucleotide long non-coding RNA is filed under the name Homo sapiens (human). Its description in RNAcentral is "HSALNT0146575". The record is from RNAcentral. Lineage: Eukaryota; Metazoa; Chordata; Mammalia; Primates; Hominidae.
GUUCUACCAUCUUCCCAGUUCACAAGUUGAAAAUGGAUGACACCUUAUCAGAUCAUCAAAGCACAGUAUUACCAGAGUUAUAGUGUUGAAUGUGUUUCAUCUGCACCAUUUCUAAGUAAUAAUUCAUCACAAAUGACAAGAUAGAAUCUCUAGCAAUAAGAUUUUGGGUCAUCGUCAUCCUAUAGACUUCAAAAGAAACACAGGCACUCAAACGUCUGACUCUAAUCAUAAGUUAGCAUAAUAGGAACGAUGGCAAUAGAAGAGUAUGUUUAGCUGAUAUCAUUUGGAAAUGGGAACAUGAGCACGUGAUUACAGCGUGUGUUUCUAUGAAGACACUCAGAAGCGGCCCAUAGAGACAGGAUCUAAGGCCUCUUACUAACAGCCAGCACCACAA